GUGAUAAAGGAUAUCUGUUCCUAACCAUGUUGUAAAGUCAUGUAAACUAACUUAAAGUUUAAAGUUUGCAGCCAUUUUUAAGGAGAAGUGUUGCAUGAGGCAGUAUUAGCUAACCUUCACCUGUCAUACUAGUAACCUUUCAUUUCACUUUUAUCAUCCGAUUUUAAGUUUUGUCACACUAACAUGUUUCAGGUCAUCAAAGAACAUCAGACAACAAUGACCUGACUAAAUACACAAAACUGUUCUCAGAUUAUUAUGUAAUUUAAGUAACUAGGUGUGUCCUGACAACUUUUCCACUUCCGAUACAAUAUCAAUACUGCAGCUUUGAGUGUCGGCCAAUACCGAUAUUGACCCGAUACGAUAUCAGCAUCUGACCAUGAGUCAGAGUCAUACAUACUUUUAUCAGUGAUUUUGUAGUCUGGAAUGCUUUGAUCAAGUGAAAUAAUUACUCAGAGAACAAUAGUUAAUAGUAGGUAUGAAAACGAUGAAGUGCUUCUAACUGAGAUUUUAAUGCAGCCUGAAAUAAUUAAAUACUCGUUGUUUGGCUGAUAUCGGACCAAUUUCCGAUAACGGAUCGGGACAAUCAUUAGUAAAUUAAUGUUUUGCAUGUCUGUUAAUUUUCUAGGAUGUCAGUGCUAUCCGAUUAAAUCCCAGCUCUGAACAUUUUGGACUGGGCUGCAAGAUCAAGGUAUAUUCUCAAAUUAUCCAGUAGCUGCAGAAGGCAGAACAUUAAUUCAGAACAAACUUCUGUUCUGGAAAUGUAACAACUAUCUCAUGUUGUGAGUCCAGAUUCUCAUGAUAUUUCUGACAACUUCACACUCCCAAUUAAUAAAGAAAGCAGGUUGAUUUUAGUGUAAUGAAAGUCUUCUCUGAACCAAUAUCCCAGAGGUUGUGGUGAAAAGCUUUAGCUGCAGUUGCAGCUUGUUGGCCACUAGGCGUCUCCAGUUGUGCAAAGGAGAUCAAUAAAGGCUCUCUGGGAAGGAAUGAGAAGAGUCAGAGGACAUGUGAGCAGCAGAGGUUAUAGCUGAAGCGGUCGGAUCUCAUUUUGUAUCUCUAUAAUGAAUGCAGCAAAGAAUUUGGUCUUCUUCACAGUAAUAAUCUGUGCAGGUAAGAACGUGUAACAGCUAAAAUAGUCUGUGAUUCUUCAAAGUAAUCAUCUUUUUUUUAUUUUGCAGGCGUUUCCAUUGGUCUUAGAAUUGAUCAACCUCCGUCUUUAUUGCUUGAAGUUGGGCAACAGGCUGUGAACUUAAAAUGUGAACAAGACGACGAACAAUACCUGAACAUGUACUGGUACAGACAAAUAAGCAGCAGCAGCAGCAGCAUGGAAUUAGUGGCAUAUUCCGUUGGUAAAGAUAUUUCAACUAUUGAAGCUCCGUUCCAGGACACCAAAUACUCCAUGUCCCGUCCGUCGACGCUGAGCACCACGCUGCAGAUCAACAAGGCCGAGCCUGGAGACUCGGCUGUGUAUUACUGUGCUUCCAGUAAGGCACAGAGCUUCAAAAAGCAUCGAGGGCAAUACAAAAACCUCAGCAGAACAUUUCUAUUAAUGUGGAUUCAAAAUAUGAAAGAAAAAAAAAACAUGCUCCUUUAUGCACACUGUCAUGUUUCUGCAGCACCACAAAGCAGAUCAGAUAAGACAGCAGGCGUCAACUCCAACAUUCAGUAAUCUUAGACGCCUCACGUCUUUGUUUCAUUUUUCAUUUGCUUUGAUUCUUUCCUCAGUUUGAUAGGGGAUUAAGAUCAACAGAUUAUGUCACAGUGCCCUCUUCUGGCUUUAUGUAUAAUUACAGUCAAGGCAAGCGACUCGUUUUGGUUCUUCUCAAGACUAGAAUGACUUAUUGAAACAACUUCUCAUUCAAUUCAAUUCAAAAAUGCUUUUUUGAUCCCAAAGAGGAAUUAAAUGUUGCUGUAACUCAUUAAUUCAAGGUUCUUCAAAGAGUUAUAGUAGAUUGUGAUGGCAGUCCUGUAGCAGUCUGUGUUACAGGGAAUCUGAAGACGCCUCGAACAGAAGACACAGUUUUUCUACAACAGCGUCAUGAAGAGGACGGUCAGGGAUCUCCAUAAUUUCCGUGGUUUUAUGAAGACUCUUCCUUUGCAUCUUCAUCUCCAGAGGUUCCACAGUCGUCCCCAGAACAGAACCAGCCGUCUUCAUCGGCCUGUUGAGCCUUUUCAGGUCCCUGGUUCUGAUGCUGCUGCCCCAACAGAUGAUGAUGGAAGAGAAGACGGUAUCAACAACAGACUUAUAGAUCUGCAGCUUCACUGUUGCAUCUCCAGUCCAGUCUGUUGUCCAGAUGAACACCAAGAUGAGAUGAUUGUUCCCACAAAGUGAUCCACCAGCUCUCAGUACUCAGCCUCUUGUCCAUCUCUGAUUCACCCGACAGCUGCAGAGUCACAUGAGUGUUUCUGUGAAAGACAGAAGUUGGAUUUGUGCUGGAGGUCAGAAGUGAAGUACAGGAUGAAAAAGAAUGGCGAGAGAACGGAGCCCUGUGGAGCUCCUGUGCUGGUGACCACCUGGUUAAACACACAGCCUCUACCCUUACAAUGCCUCCAAAUGUAUUCAAAUGGUUUAUGGACGAAAUACCAGUAUGAAGGUUAUUCUUAUGAAAUUAUAAUUUAUCAACGUUGGUUGAUAAAUUAUAAUUUUGUCAGCUCCCUGACUGUCGUCAGUCAUGAGCAUGUUUCUGUGAAAAACAACAACUUUCUGUCUGAAUGUUUCUUCAUUGAUGGACUGCCUCACUCUAUCAAGUUAUAGAAAUGUUCUGUAUCAAUAAAAAAUCUGAUUUUUUUUUUUGUCAAA
Molecule: long non-coding RNA, 2797 nt
Organism: Xiphophorus hellerii (green swordtail)
Lineage: Eukaryota; Metazoa; Chordata; Actinopteri; Cyprinodontiformes; Poeciliidae
Exons: 2
Source: RefSeq, a predicted model, not a curated record